CAUUUUUUAAUUUUUAUUCAACAGUUUUAAUCUAAAUAGAUUUAUUUUAUAAUUUUUAUUCUGUUUGGAUACACAUCGUAUAACUUUACAAAAUAUAUAAUAAUUUAAAUUUAUAAUUUUAAAAACAAUUUAAUAUAUAAAAUUAAAAUUUUAAAAUGUUAAAAUUCAAAAUUUAAAAUUUUAAAAAUUCAAAAUCUAAAAUUUAAAAUUCAAUAUUCAAAUACAAAAUUUAAAAUUCAAUAUUCAAAUAAAAAUUUAAAAAUUAAAAAUUUUAAUUUAAUUUUAUGUUUAAAAUUCAAAAUUUAAAAUUUAAAAUCUAAAAUUUAAAAUUUAAAAUUGAAAUUAAAUGUUAAAAAUUAAAAUUAAUUGCAAUGAAAUCAAAAGGGAGUGAGAACUUAUUUGAAAAAAAAAAUAGAGACAAAAAAAAA
This 428-nucleotide long non-coding RNA is filed under the name Ananas comosus (pineapple). RNAcentral describes it as "long non-coding RNA (ACOM_LNC017080)". Lineage: Eukaryota; Viridiplantae; Streptophyta; Magnoliopsida; Poales; Bromeliaceae. The record is from RNAcentral.